UUAUACAAUAAAGUUGUCUUGAGUCUCUCCUUCUGCGUCCACGUCAUCAGAGAGGUAAGGGCAAAUGAAGACACGUGUCUGCUUAACUUUUUCAGAUACUUUCUGACGUUUUCGUGAUGUUUAUUAACUCGCGCUUUAUUUUGUUUUAAUUUAUUACGGGCUUACGUUGAUUUGUAAGCACACAAUUUAUGGGCUAAAUAUAAAUUGGCCCAUCAAGGAACUAAACCUUCUUCUCUUUGCAGCCGUAAUCUGAACUUAUUCAGCCAUCCAAGACCUAACGCCACCAUUUCGACUUUCCUGGCGAAGUAACGCUUCCUCUUAAAAGUCUUUCAAUCAACAAUAUCCACUAAUCGCUCUAUCUCGUCUUCAUUGCAGCAUUAAUUCAUCGUUCAUAAGCUCCUUAAAGCGUAUAGAUAUAUCUUGAUUUGGCCUCGCGAAAUCCCCUACUUUCAGCCGCCUGAUUUACUCUGAAUUUCUCUGGCAUGAUUUCCGAAAAUGACUACAUGUCACCAUCAUUUUUCCGACUUGAAGGCAUGACUGCGUAAGGAGAUGGUCCAGACGAGACUCCUCCGUCUCUGGGAGGCUUUAAAUGAAGAUUUUAUCUGAAAAUCCUUUUUUCGUGAGGCGUCAAUUAAUGUGCACCGUCAGAACAUCUUCAAACACUUGCGAAGCGAAGGAUAUUUGUAUGAGCUUAGUGUAUGUGAAGUAACCCGUAGCAACCCCAACUUCCACUUUAGCGAUAGCCCCAUUGCUAUUCGUUUCACUAACAAAACCGUCUUCGCUGAGCUUUCUGAGAUGGGCAACCGAUCCCGCUGUAGAGCUUCAAGUUGCGGAACUACGACCAAUUUCUGGUAGUAGCAAACACGAGUAUACCAGAUAUUGUUGGUAAGUUAGGGUACUAGAACUGCUUACAACGAAGAGAGCCAGAGUACACAAUGUCUCAUGAUCACCAUAAGCAUUGAACGGCACUCUAAUGUAUGCCUAAGUGUGUUUCCUUAAUAGGGCCAAGGACCGAAGGUGGUGGGUGGUUGCCACUAGCAUCAACCCAAUAUUGAUAUUGUCUCAGGACGUCUCUUUCGAAUGCAACUUCAGGAACUCAUUUCUAUUUUGAUAAUGAGUGCGCUCCUGGUCAAAGUUAUCUAGAGAGGGUAUGCAAUUGUGAGGAAGGCUCAACUUUCAACCCUACGAAGUACGGUGGUCUGAAGAAGAUUGAAAGAAUGACGUUAGGAGAGCUUAAUGACUACUUGCUGAAAUCUCAACCUCAGGUAAACUGAGAACCCUUACAAAUUUGAGAUUCCUAAAUUCAACAUGACAAAUAAGUGGCUUAACAAUAUCUCAAUAACUACACUCUACGGAGUUCAUUUUCACUGGUGUUGUGCAUGAAUAGAAACAUGGUGCUACCACAAAUUGCAGCAUGGGUUCUCAUCAUUUUCAUGCGCUCCCUCCAAUGAGGAGAAUGCAAUUAGUUAUCAGGUUGCUGUUACACAAGACCUCCAGGAUUGGGACCUCCCACAAUGCCUACAGGAGAUUGUUGGGAGCACCUUAAACUUCCAAUUGAGUCUAUCUCACUUCAACUUCAAUGCCAUACAUCAGAGUUUCGCUGUUUCCCGCAUUUUCUGACAACAACCAACGCCCACUUCAGCUUAAUUUUGAGGUUAAUGGUGGGAAUGAAAUGCCACAAUCAUUGUCUCUAGAGCUGUCCCGUGAAUUAGGGUGAAAGUGAUGGUAAUGGCGAAGUUGCAGGUGGAAGAGUGAGCCAUUAGAUCCAAGUCAAACAUCUAUUGAUGGGAGGAAUACAAGCGAGGACGGGCCAGUGAAAGAGGAAGGUUGCUAUGGCAAGAAGCCACAGACUAACAAAGAACAAGUGGAGCUUCAAAUAGAAGACUGGCAUGUUCGAUGUUUUUGUUUAAAAAUAAAACUACCAAACACUAUGGUUUACUUUUCAUGGUGGACUUUUUUCUUAUUUGGAUUUUAAUUGGUUUCAUAUUUUAACGUUUCCAUCGUAUACAUUUAACAGUCAAACCCAAAAAAAAAUCGUACUACACAGACCUAUCACUUUUACUAACAAACCUUAUCAGCUAUCUGGAAAUUAGAUAAAAUUGUAUUAAUGCGCUCAUAAAAUAUAUGAAUUCAGGUGGCAGAAGAUACCAAAACACACAACUAUUGUGGUCAUGUUUUUUUAUUUUUCUCAACUGCCGGCGAAGAUAACGGCGUUAGUACUAUCAUCUACUCGGAGGUUUUCAACAACCUCUUUUAAAAAUAGGUUCGCACAAUAUCAUAAGCCCUUAAACACUACAAAUACAUUACAAAGCUAACCUAACUUCCCUUUUCAAAUGGUUGUCACACACGAAGCUCCAAAUCCAGAAGUCCAUAAAGCAACCAGGAAUUCUUAACAACUCUUCCCAGCAACCAUGAGAACUAUGUUUUAUGACUAAUAUUUUAAUUUCUAAACGUCAACCUUUUAAGUUUUACCAAAACUGAGUCAGGACAAUUGCACGUCCAAAUUCACGUCUCCAGCUAAAAAUAACAAUUCCCAAGAGGUUCGACCACAACACAUACUCACCCAAAUAAAAUACAAACCAAAGACUAUGAACAACUUACUCAGCUUGAUGUAGACACUAAACUCUGUUGACCGACCCUAGCUAACACAAACAGUCAAAACACCAACUACAAUCCUCUGAGCCCAUUAAAAAAAUUAUAAGCCCAUAUCCUACUAGAAAAACAGCUAAUCCACCAAAAGAUAUACCGCAAAACACUAACACGACUCAAACAUGCUUUGAAAGAAAAAUCGUCCAAAACUAAUACUCAAAUUAUCCCACCACUCCACAUUACACACAUAAAAAUAAAAAAAAACAACAUAACACAACACAAACCCAUGUGUUCGUAUCAAUGUAAGCAUUACAAAAUAUACCCCCACCCAUAUACACACUCAAACACACACAACCAAAAAAACUAUACAGACAAAACCACAAACAAAAGAAUUACACAACAAACGCAUUGACAUGACGUCGAAAGCUGAUGACUCCAAACCUGACAUAUACUAACAUGUACUCAUAAAAUCCUUUAUUAGUUCACGACCUUCAAUUCUUAAUUGGUUCAAACUUGAUUGGACUAACAACUAACAUAUGAUAAAUGAAAUAAAUUGAAUUCAAAAAAGAAAACAACGUUCGAAUCCGGCGCGUAGCGCCGGAAUACUCCUAGUAACAAAAUAAAUUAGAAAUAGAAACACUAAUAACCACAGAAAUUAUCAGUGUUCAAAGCGCUAAGCGGACUGUGACUCAGCGCAUAGUGCUUAAAGACUAGACGUUAAAAUAGUUAGUUAAUCAUUC
Long non-coding RNA from Brassica napus (rape), 3329 nucleotides. RefSeq lists it as uncharacterized. The record is from RefSeq and is a predicted model, not a curated record. NCBI's taxonomy places the organism in Eukaryota, Viridiplantae, Streptophyta, Magnoliopsida, Brassicales, Brassicaceae. The transcript is spliced from 8 exons.